RNAcentral lists this ribosomal RNA (329 nucleotides) under uncultured eukaryote. Its description in RNAcentral is "partial 18S ribosomal RNA". It matches the Rfam family "Eukaryotic small subunit ribosomal RNA", at positions 1470 to 1796 of the family's 1831-position model. The record is from RNAcentral.
CCCUUAGAUGUCCUGGGCCGCACGCGCGCUACACUGAGUGUCUGAGAUACGAGUCUGCCUGGUCCGGCAAGGUCUAGGUAAUCGCUAAAAGACACAUCAUGCUUGUGAUAGAUUAUUGCAAAUAUUAAUCUUGAACGAGGAAUUCCUAGUAAGCGCAAGUCAACAGCUUGCGUUGAUUACGUCCCUGCCCUUUGUACACACCGCCCGUCGCUACUACUGAUUGGAUGUUUAAGCGAGGUUCUCGAACUGCUAGCGACUUAGCUUCGGUGAGGUCGCAGUGUGGGAAGUGAACCUAGCUUUGGUGUCUAGAGGAAGUAAAAGUCGUAACA